Molecule: long non-coding RNA, 8884 nt
Filed under: Sorghum bicolor (sorghum)
Lineage: Eukaryota; Viridiplantae; Streptophyta; Magnoliopsida; Poales; Poaceae
Description: long non-coding RNA (SBIC_LNC016858)
Rfam family: MIR5565 microRNA precursor family (bases 3284-3392)
Source: RNAcentral
UUUUAUCAAAUCCAUAGUGUACAACAUUUCCUUCGUCAAAAUAAUCUGUACAGAAUGUGUAGAAUGCUUUCUCAAACUAUGAAUUAUGAAUUACAGAAUUGGCUCAGAUUUGUCCAGUCAUAACCAAAAUCUCAUAAUUUUGAAUUACAGAAUUAUAGCAUAAUAAUUUUUUAUAACAGACAAAUACAUCUCUGAUUUUUAUAAGACACCGCAACCUCGUGGGUACCUAACCAAUUAGCACUCCAUUUCUGAAACUGAAACAUACAAACAUCAACUACCAGAGAUUAGAUCUGUGAUGGACGAAACAGCUAUAGGAAACUCUGUUACUGCUACAAGGCUUUAGUUUCAUAAAAGAAUACACUAUAGCAAUACAAGUACUUGGAAACAGCCAAAACAGGCUGUUCAGAGUGAAAUUUACACAGUAAUGCUUUGUAGCAUUCGUAGACUCUCCGUCUCCAGUAUAUCACACAUUAGGGCCUUGUUUAGUUCCCAAAAAAUUUUGCAAAAUUUUUCAGAUUCCCCGUCACAUCAAAUCUUUAGACGCAUGCAUGAAGUAUUAAAUAUAGACGAAAAUAAAAACUAAUUGCACAGUUUGGUCGGAAUUGACAGUACAUAAUUGGAUAAUAUUUGUCAAAUACAAACGAAAGAGGUACUAUUCAUAUUUUGCCAAAUUUUUUGGAACUAAACAAGACCUCACUUCCCUUGCUCCCCACAUUCUCACUCUGAACACAAACUAGACCUGCUACAUCAGAUAUGUUUCUUGUUCAACUACAGAAACAAACAAAUGUUCACAAUUAUUUUUUUUAAAAAAUAAAUCUUUUAAAACAUUUAUGCUGUUUGAUGGAUCAUUUCAUCCAAGGAACAGUCUCCCACUUUAGGAGCAGUAAAAGAUCCCUCAAACACAGGCAAACCUCACCCACUCAGAUUCAUUUAAAUUUUAAGAUGAAAAUACAACUAUCUAAAACUAGUCAAACUGCAAGCAGGAGUGCAAACCAAGAAUCUUCAAUGUUCAAUAUUGAUGCAGCUAUUCCAAGAUCCAACAGCAAAUUUUAACUGACCAGGUAACAUAUUUGUUUAUGCGGUGCCACACCACGUUUUCAUGCAAUCUGAAAUGCCAGGCUACACUAUGUCAACAUGGAUUUGUUGUCACCAUGAUCCCGGUCACAAGUUGAAAACUUGAAAUCACUGGAAAAGGCAGGGUAGCAUGAAGGAAAGAUAAUCAUAACGAAUAUGACGGAACAAAAUACUUGUCAAAGUACUCGCAUGUCUCAGAUUUCCCCCCUCUCAUUGAUUUAAGGAGGAUCAUUCAUUCAAAUGUACACUACAAUAUAUAUAGUACACCACCACUACAGCAGCAAUGACAACAAUUAGUUGCAAACUGGUUAUUUCUUACAAACCCUAAACCCAAAGGUAGUAAUUGCAUGGAGUCAGACAAAUGCAACAAAGAAAUUAAGUCAGCAUGAAGCAACAAUAUAUAUUCAACUAAAAUGUGAAGGAAAUCACAUAAAGUCAGCAUUAUCGUUUUGUUUUCUUUUGGGGUGUGUAUGGGUGGGUGGGUAAGGGGAAGGCUCAGCUUUGCCUUUGCUCAUUCAUCUUACUGUAUCCCCAUCAUCUCUUAUCACCAGAUCAACUUGUUCUGACAAGCGGAGCUGCCGUAGUUAUCACCCAUGAAGAAUGGCAUGACCAUGCAAGGACAAUACCAUUAUCAUAAGAACAUAAUUGAAGAGGUUUCCAAGAGAGGAAGGCAAGGACUCCAGUUUCGUACCCAUAGCAGUCUUGAUUGCUCAAAGGCACAUAUGUCAGCCUUCGUUAUUGAUCAUUGCCUCAGUGGAAUUUUCCAUAUUCGUAAUUGAGGGGCACUCAGGUAGGAACUUAUAAUAUGGAACUGACUUGGCACAUUUGCCCUACUAACAUUAUCUCAAGUUAAAAUCCAGCAGCAAAGCAAGUGAAGAACACAGCCCUAUAUCAGGGUACAGCAUCAACAGGACAUGCAAAAUAGCACAAAAGAACGAGUAGAUAAGAGCACAAGAGUACAAAGCAGAAUAAAACUUUAACCAAUUCAAAGAGCAUAUUAGCUGCAACAGCGGCCAAACCAGCCAUCAUAAGCCGGAUUAUUUAUUUUAUUUAUUUAUUUUGUGGGUGGUUGUGGGGGGGGGGGGGGGGGGGGCAGGACAAGAAAAGUCACAUGAGUAGCUCAGAUUUCAGAUUUAAACAUUAUCAGGAUUGCAACUGCAAUUUGUAGUGGAAGCACAAUGUAAUCUCCCUUGCUCUCUGUCUCUCUUUCAUGGCCACAUAACUGGUUACUUGUUGCUACAACUGCCCAAAAAGGAUGCUUGUCCAGGUGCAUAGACAGAAUUGCAUUUUCUCUGGAUAAAGUAGCAAGGUACAAGCCAUCCUAGUUAAGCAACAAGCAGAAUAGAAUAUCCCAGGGAUUAGCUCUGAGAAUGCUACAGAGCAGAAGCUCUCUAAUGGAAAGUUCAGUCAUCAUAGCACUCAAGAGUAGUACAAAUAAAGAAGUCAUAAAGCCUCUGAUAUAAACCAGUCUUUUUGUAUAUAUAAACACCAGAAUGCCUCUAAGGACAAAUUAGGAACCACUUCUAAGUAUUGGUGGAAGAAUGAAAGUAGUAAAAUAAGAGUGUGCAAAAGAAAUCAAAUCAUUCUUUAGAACAAAAUGUGCAAUUCUUCCACUUAAGUUUCAGCAUCCCAACCAAAAACACGAAUGUAUGCAUUCAAAUCUACCCAUGUCAAGAAUCUUAGGCCCUGUUUGGAUCCUUCCAGUUUUUAAGAAUCUGGUUUUUGAAAACUGAUAGGAUCCAAACAGGCUAGUUUUUGCCUACUUUCUUGUGUCAGUUUUUGCCAGAUUCUUAAAAGCCAAGAAGCUGUUAUACCCAGCUUUUGCCAGUUUCUUGUGACCCUGUGAGCAAUAAAUGAAGUCAGAUUAUUAAAAACUUGGGGAUCCAAACACCCUCCAUCAGUUUUUGUUCAGAAUCCAUAUUUUAGGAACUAGAGACAAAACUAGUUUUUAAGAAUCUGAAACUCAUACAAACAGGCCCUUAUAUGACAUGAAAUCAAAGCUGACAAACUCGUCCCAUCAGUACCAUGAUCCUGGUCCCAAGUUGAAAUCACUGAAAAAGGUAGAAUACAUUAAGAAAAUAGAAUCAUAAACGAAAGUAUAUGAUGAAACAGGAACAGCUCAGAUUUGCCCCAGUAUCAACACAAUACUCACAGAAGAAAUAUAUGUACUCCUUCCAUCUCUCUCUAAACCCUAAGGCCUUGUUUGGAUGUUGUCGUAUUCACUUCAAUCCAUGUGUGUUGGUGUGGAUUGGGGUGGAAUUUAGUUCAAAUUUCACUCCAAUCCACCUCAACACAUGUGGAUUGAUGUGAAUCCGACUACAUCCAAACAAGGCCUAAACCGUAAACCCAAACCCCUGCCCCACUAGUUGCAAACUGGUUGCUUGUGUAUGGUACAAGCCAUCCAAGUUUAGCAGCACAUUGAGCAAAAUACCAAAGGUGACAAUUCAGGAUGCUAAAAAAGUAAUAGCCCUAUGGGGCUGGGGCAUUUGACAUCACAGCCUUUGAAGAACAGUUCCAAACAAGAAAGCAAGAUCAACAGACGAGCGACAACAAAAUAUCUGAAAAAUGAAGGAAUGCAUAGGAACUACCAAAAUGGAUCAAUUCUGCACCCUGCAUCUGAUAUAAAGCACAAAAUCUUUUUGUAUAUGUAAACACCACAAAAAAGUGAGACAUGUACUACAUGUGUGCAAAAAGAAUGGUGGGAGAGGAGUCGAGGAUGUAGUUUAGGGCCUGUUUGGAACACAGAAUUCCCCAUAUUUUUUUCUCGAACAUGCAGGAGACCUGUGUAUCAUUAUAUUAAGAAGAAAAAGGGGAAUGAACCCUUACAAACCCCAUAUAUCAGCAAAUCAAAAGGCAAAUUAGCUGCAACAGCGGCAAAACAAACCGUGAUAAACCUCCAUGGUUUUAUGGUGGUGGUUAGAAGGGGGGGUGUUGAGUGGCUCAGAUUUCAGAUUUAAACAUUAUCAGGAUAGCAACUGCAAUUUGUAGUGGAAGCACAAUGUAAUCUCUCUUGAUCUCUCUCUCUCUUUCAUGGCCACAUAACUGGUUGCUUGUUGCUACAACCGCCCAAAAAGGGUGCUCGUCCAGGUGCAUAGAUAGAAUUGCAUUUUUUAGGACGGAGGUAGCAAGGUACAAGCCAUCCUAGGUAAGCAGCAAGCAGAAUAGAAUAUCCCACGGAUCAGCUCCAGAAAUGCUACAUUGCAGAAGCUCCCUAACUGGAAAGUUCAAUCAUCAUAGCCACUCAAGAGUAGUACAAAAAAAAACUCAUAAGGCAUCUGAUAUAACAGGAACAGCUCAGAUUUGCCCCAGUAUCAACAGCGGCGAGACCAAAGUAAAAUGUCCCAGAUGCAACUGCAGGGGAAGGAGAUCACCAUUGAAGCACAUUAGGAGAAGUAUUCAUGUUCCAUACAUCCAUCCGUAGGGAAGAUAUGCGGACGAAAGUAUACAACAGAACAGAAAGAGUAAUGUCAAGUUGAAUGGCUCAGAUUUGCCCCAGUAUCAGCACAAUACUCCCAGAAGAAGAAACAUGUACACCCUCCAUCCCUCUCUAAAUGAACUAGGAUUGUUCAUUUGGAUAUAUACACUACUGCUACUACUACUAGACUGCCACAACACUGACAACAAUAAGUUGCAAACUGGUUGCUUGUAUAUGGAACAACCAAACAAGCCAUCCAAGUUUAGCAGCAUAUUGAGCAAAAUACCAAAGGUGACAAUUCAGGAUGCUAAAAAGUAAACGCUCUAUGGGGCUGGGGCAUUUGACAUCACAGCCACUGAAGAAAUGUUCCAAACAAGAAAGAAAGAUCAACAGACAAGCGACAACAAAAUAUAUGAAAACCAAAGGAAUGUGAGGUUUUGGAAACUGUUGGAGGAACCCAGCAAAUGUGCUCCCAACUUUUUUUAGCCACUUGAAAAACUCAUUGAUUUACCAAUUAUUUUUUUGGGAACCAUUGGAGAUGCUCUGAGGUAGCAACUUAUGAGAUGGAACUGACUUGGCAUAGUAGUUCAAAUCCAGCAGGAAGGCGAGUGAAGAACGGCUUUAGAUCAGGGUAUUGGCAUACAGCAUCAGCAGGACAUGUAAAAGAGCACAAAGAACAAGGAGAUAAGAGCGUGCAAGAGUGCAAAUAAAAAACAGAAUAAAAGUUUGAAGCGAUUCAAAGAACAGAUAAAACUGCCAUGGUAGUAGUGUGGUGGUGAUGCGGGGGUGGGAGGCAGGUUUUCAUACGGUAGUACUAGAAUAAAUAGGAGGUAACUUGAGUGGCUCAGAUUUAACCAUUAUCAACAUACCAACUGCAAUUUAUAGUGGAAGCGAGGGAGGGAGGGAGGGGAAGGGGUAGGGAGGCAGGCAAGCAGAGGGUGAUGGAGGGAGAUGGAGAGAGAGGGCAACACAGCAGGCCAAACCCGACUCAGAAGCCGCGUAGGAGUCUCCACACAGUUCCCAUUCACUGCCGCCACCGAUGCCAAGCAAUGUAGCAGUGGCAAGGCGGCAAUGUAGGGAUUGGCACCUAAAGCGACUGCCGUUCUGGAGAACGGACCACACAACACCAAUUCGAUCUAAGCUGGCUGUAAGCUUGUACAGCGCACUUCUCCACUCCUCUCUCCACCUCAGCAUUCAGCCUGCUUACAGCCUCUUAUAUAUACUUGCUCUUAUGGCCACAGAACUGGUUACUUGUCGCUACCACUGCCCCAAAAGGAAUGCUUGUCCAGAUGCAUAGACAGAAUUGCAUUCUUGUUGGUACAGAAGUAGUAAUGUACAAGCCAUCCGAGUUAAGCAACACAGAGACUUAAUCACAUUUCUUCUUUGGACAGAGGUAGUAAACAAUCCCGCCUAGUUAAGGAGCAAAUGUAAUAAAAUAUCCCAGGUGCCAGCUGCUGAAGACAUAGCAGUUUGGCAAACAGGCCUCAUGUUUUACAAGAAAAUCAUGUUUUCUUCCCUUUCUGAGAAGGGGGAUCAGCUUCGCCUUUGCAAAUGUAAUAAAAUAUCCCAAAUAUGUAGGUUACACAAGAAAAUUCGAAGCGACAACAUAUUCAACAACAACAACAACAACCAAAAAAACAAAAUCAUGUUUUCUUCCCUUUUCUGAGAGGGGGGAUCAGCUUCGCCUUUGCUCAGUCAUUUAACCGUAUCCCCAUCAUCUCUUAUCACCAGAUCAACUUGUCCUGAUACGAUAAGUGGAGCUGUCCUGGUUAUCACACAUGGAAUGGCAUGACCAUCCAAGGACGAAGCCACUAUCAUAGAACAUAAUUGAAAAGGUUUCUAAGAGAGGAAAGGGAGGAUUCCAGUUUGGUACCCAUAGCAGCCUUGGUUGCUCAAAGGCGCUUAUGUCAGCCAUGGUCGUUGAUCAUUGCCCCACAUUGGAAUUUAUGCCUUCCGUUCUUGAAGGGCAUUUACAUAUUAGUCCCACAAACAUUGACCGAGGUCCCAGGAUCAAUCCAGCAGGAAGGCAAGUGAAGAAGAAUACCCUUUCAUCACGGUAGAGCAUCAACAGGACAUGCAAAAGAGCACAAAAAGAACAAGCAGAUACACAGAUGACCGCUACUCCCUAUCAUGGGGCGGUGAUUCUACCGGAAAGGUUACGAAACAAGAUUUUUAGGAUUAUUAUUAUUAUUAUUAUUUUGGGUGACUGCUAGAGACACCCUAAGGUACAACGCAUCCUAGUUAAGCAAUAAGCAGCAAACAGAGAUAGAAUCACAUUCUUUUUUUGGACGGAGGUAGUAACUAGUAAGGCAUGAGCCAUCCCAGUUAAGCAGCAAACAGAAUAAAAUAUGGUAGAGUGCAGAAGCUCUCUAAUGGAAAGUUGAACCAUCAUAACCACUCAAGACUAGUAUGAAACAAAAACAAUCAUAAGGCAUCGCAGCAUAAACCAUACAAAAAGGGCUCAAUAUCACCUUUGCUCAAUCAUAGAAACCAAGCCCACCCUUAUCUUGCUGCACAAUUUAUUCAUCCUAAUGUGAGUGGAACUGUGCUGGUUGUCACACAUCCAAGUGACCAUCCUAGGAGAACCACAAACAAAAAUGGAUGAUUAAAUAGGCUUCCAGACAGGAGAGGAUCAGCUCUAAUUAGAUACUCAAUGGCAUGCAAUUCCAAAUAGGUUGAGCAUCAUCGCCCUUCGUCAGCACUCCAUUUCACAUAUUCGAGCCCAUUUCAAAGUCCAACACGGUCACCCUAUGUAAAUUUCACUUGCACUGGCCACUGGAUACUUUCACCCAAGUCCAAAAACAGGACACAGGGAACUUAAGCUAUUAAGCUAUUUGUAUUCGGAUCUGGUUUAAUUUAGUGUAUACAUGUAUUAUGUCCAAUAACUUUGAUCCAUCCGCAAAUAUCGGGUGUACAUGUGCACACCCAUGUCCUUUUCUGGACGUGCCCCAGCAAGAAGGGAAGAGGGGUGGGCACACCUGGUUGGUGCUCGUUGCCGGCAAAGUGCCUGGUUGUUAAGACCAAGACCUGGAUAUCUGAUAUAUGAUGGCGUGGCCUCCCAGUCAUCACCACAAGAGAGAGAGAGAGGGGGGGGGGGGGGGGGGGCAUGUAGCCGAGCAGUGUGUGUGUGUGCUCUUUACAGCACCACCAACCAAGCAAUCCAAGGCCCUUGUUUAGUUCACCCCAAAAUCCAAAAACUUUUCAAAAUUCUCAAUCACAUCGAAUCUUGUGGCAUAUACAUGGAGCAUUGAAUAUAGAUUAAAAAAAUAACUAAUUGCACAGUUUGCUUGUAAUUUGAGAGACGAAUCUUUUGAGCCUAGUUAGUCCAUGAUUGGACAAUAAUUACCAAAUACAAACAAUACGGUACACUAAACAAGGCCCAAACUGCAAUAGACCCUUUCUUCCUCAAUUCCGACCCCACCCCAGCACCACGGCGUCCGCGACCCUGCACCCCAGCGAGCAACCCCACGGAUGAGGUGGAGAGAGAGGGGGGGGGGGGGGGGGGGGGCAACGGGAGCGCAGCAGGCCAAACCCAACUCGGAAGCCGCGUAGGCGGCAACGCACGGUUCCCAGCCCAUGCCGCCACCGAUGCCAAGCAAUGUAACAGCGGCGAGGCGACACCGUAGGGAUGGGCACCUGAAGCGACGGCCGCUCCGGAGAAUGGACCGCGCACCACCCUCGAUUCGAUCUAGGGUUUGGGUUCAGGGGAUGUGCGAGCAUACACACAUACUACUACAUCCGUCACGGAGAUAAUGCAAUCUAGCAUUCAAAUCAACGACGACGACGACGACGACGACGGCGAGGACAAGGCAAGGAAGAGUCAGAGAUACAGAGAGCAUGCAUACCAAAACGAUGCAUCCGCAAGCAAAGGCUCGAAAAAGGUCCAUCAAUGGCGGCUCAGAUCCCGCGCCGGCCGACCACGGCCCCGACUAGAACCGCCGCGGACCCCACCCCCACGGUCCCCAACCCCAGCCCCCGCCGCCGCAGCACCGUCACCCGCGCAAGGGUCCCCAAUCCGACUCGGCGCGGCGGGGCGGGGAGCGGGGUGGCCCCGGGGAGACGCGGAUCCAAGGACGGUUGCCGGUCGAGAGCCGGGCCAGCGCCAACCGCGGCGCCCUUCCUCAUCGCCGCUUUUGUUCCAAGGGCUGUUGGUUUCAGUGGUGUGAUCACCGGCCGCCGCGAGUGGGAACAAGCAGCAGGAUGGCAGAUUCUGAGGGAUAGCCCCAGAGCGCUCGCCUCGCAUGCAUCACCGCCGCCGCCGCCGCCGCCGCUGCCCACACGGAGUGGCCUCACACUUAAACUAAUGAGUGAGUGAUAAUCUGGUCGGAGACGGCGAGGUUUUAUGCGGGGUUGGGAGGGGAUGGAGGAGAGGGGAGGGGACGAACUGCGGUGGCG